AUAAUAAUUAGUCUUUUAAAUGAAGGCUGGAAUGAAUGAUUGGACGAGGUAAAUUCUGUCUCAUUAAAAUUAAGAUUUAAAUUUAAUUUUUAAGUUAAAAAGCUUAAAUAUUAUUAAAGGACGAGAAGACCCUAUAGAGCUUUAUAAUAUAAUUAUUAAUAAUUUUUAAUUUUAUUUUAUUAAUUUAAUAUUAUUUUAUUGGGGUGAUAGGAAAAUUUAUUUAACUUUUUUAAUUUUAUUACAUUUAUUUAUGAAUUUUUGAUCCUAAAUUUUAGAUUAAUAGAUUAAGUUACCUUAGGGAUAACAGCG
RNAcentral lists this ribosomal RNA (309 nucleotides) under Arge ustulata. Its description in RNAcentral is "partial large subunit ribosomal RNA". Lineage: Eukaryota; Metazoa; Arthropoda; Insecta; Hymenoptera; Argidae. The record is from RNAcentral.